Molecule: long non-coding RNA, 1295 nt
Organism: Corythoichthys intestinalis (scribbled pipefish)
Lineage: Eukaryota; Metazoa; Chordata; Actinopteri; Syngnathiformes; Syngnathidae
Exons: 8
Source: RefSeq, a predicted model, not a curated record
UUAAACAACACUUGCGGUGAAAAUAUGAAGUGUUUAUUCUGAGUUGAAAAGACCGUACUUAUAUCUAGUAUUCUUAAUGUAAUUUAAAUAAUGUAUUCCUUUACUAACUGCAUGUGACUUUGCUCUACUUAUAUUGUUUAAUACGUACUGAUGAAUUCAGCAGCGAAUUGGCUAAUGCUGCUAAUGCUUUUUACAUUUUUUUUUCACAAUGAACAGUCUUCUUUGUGUAGUUUUCAUUAUAUUGCACUCUUAUUUUUCAUUAUGUACAUGCCUGCAAUUCGCAGCUCGCUGUUUUUGUUGUUGUAUGGUGUUGUUGUUUUGCCUUCAUUUGUUUUUUCUGGUCCUUUGUCGUUUGAAUGUUGUCACAUGAUCCAAAUAGGACAAGGUUGUAAUUUUUUUUUCUUGAUAUUGUUACUCUGCUUAGCUAUAUAUUUUUUCAUUAUUUUGUUUUUUUUUACUAGCUCCAAGAUCACCACCCCAUUGGGAAGAAACUAAAUCACGACCCCCAAAUGGUAUUCUUCCCAUGCAGAUACAGGGAUGUCACACAGAUCCAAAUGGAAACAUCGAACACAGUAAAACCCACGUGGCAGACAGGACCAAUGGUGACAAUAUAAGACCAUGCCGAGCUUCAUGGACGGUUCAAACUCAUCCUGCCCAGGAACGGCUGAAAACGUUGACAGUCAAUCAACAGGGGGACAUGGAAAGAGAGGAUUGGAAGUGAAAUAGAGGGUUUUCCGGGACAGCCAUAGGGGAAGGACUGUGGCAUCUUCAUGUUGAUGGUAGACUGAUAUGCCAACUCUGAGGAAGUGGUGGUGUAUAUUGCUAGCGGACAAUUUCAAACUUGGGUGCAUGCCACAGGAAAGAGUUUGCCCAUUGGACAGAUGAGGCAAAAGCAUUACUGCAGGGUGAAGUGCCACCAGUCUAUCAGUUACAGAAGUGAAAUUCGAAUAUAAUUGCUGAGGAAGAGGUGCAACCACAGCUCCUUCAAGUUAGUGGUGGCCCACUCCAAAAAGAUAUGGCGGGAAAAAAUGUUUUGGUAAAAGGAUUGUGCAAGACAGCACAAAAGCCUCGGACAGGGCUAGGGGGGGGGAAAAAAAAUCAAUGCAGUAGGAGUUCCCAAGCAUCCUGCAGAUGGAAGAGGAUGAGCACGAACUACAAUGUCUUGGAGCCAUUCAAGUUCUGUUUCAACCAUCUGGAAGAUGGAUUUACCUUUUUUGAGGAGAUUGUUGACUAAAGAAAAUAUCUAUUCUCUCGAUAAUAAUAAAAAAUAAUAAAACUAAAAAAAAUAAAGUUUA